AUACAUGUACUUGCUUCCUGGAGGGUGGGAGACAAGACGAAAAAAUGAUACUUUGGCUGCACGUGGUAUGCAAAAGGUGGAUUCCACGGUAAAGUAAUUUUGAAUACUCCAGCUGAGGAAGCCUGACAAAUCUUUGUCAAAUCUUCCCAGAGAAGGAGGGGAAGAGGAAGACAGAGUAUAUAGACUCAGACAAUGGGAAGCCAUGUGUUUUUCACCAGGAUUCCCUCACAUCUUCUAUACCUUUUGGUCACCAAGUUCUUGAGAACCCCUUGGCAACCAGCUGUUUUGCCAGCAUUAUGAAAACUUUCUCAGAUUCAUUCACCAAAAGAGGGAGAAAACAUCAUGCUUACUGGCUCCAAAAAAAUAUCUGAGAUUGUAAAGGAAAGAAAAAUGACGACAUCCUGAUCAGUCCAAUGUAAUACAUGUCGGUUAUGAUGACAAGACAGCUUGCUUCAGUCAGCCCAUAUUGAACCAAUGUGAACUGAGAAUACCCAGGGUGAGCCUACAUGAAAGCAGAAGAUCCCUGAUUGUAAGAAGACCCAAUCUCUGUAUUUAUUUAUAAUACAGUGGUUCCCAAACUGGAGGGGUUCACGAAAUGUUACAGGGGGGUCUCGGGGGAAAAUU
Chelonia mydas (Green sea turtle) is the source of this 624-nucleotide long non-coding RNA. RefSeq lists it as uncharacterized. Lineage: Eukaryota; Metazoa; Chordata; Testudines; Cheloniidae. The record is from RefSeq and is a predicted model, not a curated record. The transcript is spliced from 3 exons.